GGCAACGAAGGAGCAGGGGCGGGGCGGCCGUUAAUCAGCGAGUGGCAACGGCGGCGGCGGCGCCACUUGGCGGACUAAACCCGCCCCGCCCCUACGAUGCCUGGAGAAGAGACUUGGGACUCGCCUGACGAACGAUGCGGGAGGGGGAGGGGACGGGGAAGCGCGCGCGCGGAAGUUUCUGAUGGUUUCAUUGGUUCUGCUUAAUGUUUUCAUAAGGCAAGUGCCCAAAUUGCCAUGGGAUUACUCUGUUCUUCCCAUUGAAACAGCAAGAAGAGGAGGCAUAAUUCUUCAUAUUACCCUGUUGCACCAAUCUGAUGAUCACAUAUCCUUGGGUGUGACCAAAUCUCUCAGCUUUGUUCUGCUGGCCUGAUUAAAGUGAAUGAUGACAUCUCUCACAUUCAGUUAAGACACUGAACAUGUUUGGCUACAUUUAUGGAGUUCUUGUGUGCGGUAUGACAUCUUUGCAACUGUCCUAUGAAAGACUGUUGAAUGAAAAUUCACAUCCAGCUGGAUGCAAUGCAAAAUUAAGUUACAACGUAGAAUUUGCUGCACACGAGGGACUUACAGAGGAACUGCCUGCUGGAUUAGUACAAGUUGGGUGUGGAAGUUGCUCAGGUUACAAAGAAUGUUGAAGUACAGAACAUAUCUUGUUGGAAGCAAUCAAUAGAACACCUGUGGCAAUAAACCUACAUGCAUUUACA
Molecule: long non-coding RNA, 701 nt
Filed under: Salvator merianae (Argentine black and white tegu)
Lineage: Eukaryota; Metazoa; Chordata; Lepidosauria; Squamata; Teiidae
Description: lncRNA (ENSSMRG00000022197.1)
Source: RNAcentral